GGGAGGAAAGACGCCGCGGAGCGCUCGGGCUGUGUGUGUGUGCACAGGGGGAGUGUAAAAUGCUGUAAUGGGAGGACGCCGCGCCGCUACGGAGUGCCCCGGACUGCAGCGGCCGUUCUGAGCGCGGUGGCACCUGAGCACACUCCUCCCGAAGCAAGUGCGACCUACACCUUCAGGCUCCAAGCAGGAAUGGAGACACCGUUGGAUGUUUUGUCAAGGGCAGCGUCUCUGGUUCAUGCUAAUGAUGAAAAACGUAAGUCAGGAAUCCACUUUAAGAGCUUUUUAUGGAUGCUCCUUGUCUCCUGCACCAUAAUAAAACCAUCUGCUUCUCUCCA
Molecule: long non-coding RNA, 335 nt
Organism: Galeopterus variegatus (Sunda flying lemur)
Lineage: Eukaryota; Metazoa; Chordata; Mammalia; Dermoptera; Cynocephalidae
Exons: 2
Source: RefSeq, a predicted model, not a curated record